RNAcentral lists this ribosomal RNA (253 nucleotides) under uncultured bacterium. RNAcentral's name for it is "partial 16S ribosomal RNA". It matches the Rfam family "Bacterial small subunit ribosomal RNA", at positions 524 to 776 of the family's 1533-position model. The record is from RNAcentral.
UACGUAGGGGGCAAGCGUUGUCCGGAUUUAUUGGGCGUAAAGAGCGUGUAGGCGGCCAAGCAGGUCAGCUGUGAAAACCCGAGGCUCAACCUCGGGCCUGCAGUGGGUACGGGCAGACUAGAGUGCGGUAGGGGAGAUUGGAAUUCCUGGUGUAGCGGUGGAAUGCGCAGAUAUCAGGAGGAACACCAAUGGCGAAGGCAGAUCUCUGGGCCGUAACUGACGCUGAGAAGCGAAAGCAUGGGGAGCGAACAGG